AGUGAACGCUGGCGGUAGGCCUAACACAUGCAAGUCGAACGGCAGCACAGUAAGAGCUUGCUCGUACGGGUGGCGAGUGGCGGACGGGUGAGGAAUACAUCGGAAUCUACUUUUUCGUGGGGGCUAACGAAGGGGAACUUACGCUAAUACCGCAUACGACCUAAGGGUGAAAGCCGGUGAUCUUCGGACCUUGCGCGAUUGAAGGAGGCGAUGUCGGAUUAGCUAGUUGGCGGGGUAAAGGCCUACCAAGGCGACGAUCCGUAGCUGGUCUGAGAGGAUGAUCAGCCACACUGGAACUGAGACACGGUCCAGACUCCUACGGGAGGCAGCAGUGGGGAAUAUUGGACAAUGGGCGCAAGCCUGAUCCAGCCAUACCGCGUGGGUGAAGAAGGCCUUCGGGUUGUAAAGCCCUUUUGUUGGGAAAGAAAAGCAGCAGGUUAAUACCCCGCUGUUCUGACGGUACCCAAAGAAUAAGCACCGGCUAACUUCGUG
Molecule: ribosomal RNA, 492 nt
Filed under: uncultured bacterium
Lineage: Bacteria
Description: partial 16S ribosomal RNA
Rfam family: Bacterial small subunit ribosomal RNA
Source: RNAcentral